UACGUAGGGUGCGAGCGUUAAUCGGAAUUACUGGGCGUAAAGCGUGCGUAGGCGGUUGGCAAAGUCAGCUGUGAAAGCCCCGGGCUUAACCUGGGAAUGGCGGUUGAAACUAGUCGACUAGAAUCUGGCAGAGGGGGGUGGAAUUCCACGUGUAGCAGUGAAAUGCGUAGAGAUGUGGAGGAACACCGAUGGCGAAGGCAGCCCCCUGGGAUAACACUGACGCUCAUGCACGAAAGCGUGGGGAGCAAACAGG
This 253-nucleotide ribosomal RNA is filed under the name uncultured bacterium. RNAcentral describes it as "partial 16S ribosomal RNA". It matches the Rfam family "Bacterial small subunit ribosomal RNA", at positions 524 to 776 of the family's 1533-position model. The record is from RNAcentral.